CGAAAGCCUGACGGAGCAACGCCGCGUGAGGGAUGAAGGCCUCUGGGCUGUAAACCUCUUUUAUCAAGGAAGAAGAUCUGACGGUACUUGAUGAAUAAGCCACGGCUAAUUCCGUGCCAGCAGCCGCGGUAAUACGGGAGUGGCAAGCGUUAUCCGGAAUUAUUGGGCGUAAAGCGUCCGCAGGCGGCCUUUUAAGUCUGUUGUCAAAGCGUGGAGCUUAACUCCAUUUCGGCAAUGGAAACUGGGAGGCUUGAGUGUGGUAGGGGCAGAGGGAAUUCCCGGUGUAGCGGUGAAAUGCGUAGAUAUCGGGAAGAACACCAGUGGCGAAGGCGCUCUGCUGGGCCAUAACUGACGCUCAUGGACGAAAGCCAGGGGAGCG
RNAcentral lists this ribosomal RNA (379 nucleotides) under uncultured cyanobacterium. RNAcentral describes it as "bacterial SSU rRNA". It matches the Rfam family "Bacterial small subunit ribosomal RNA", at positions 376 to 770 of the family's 1533-position model. Lineage: Bacteria; Bacillati; Cyanobacteriota. The record is from RNAcentral.